UAAAAAGCUUUGACAGAGAGUAGUAAAUUUGAAUCUCUAUUUUAGGGAAAAGGUGCCGUAGACUGUAAGCACUUUUAUAGUAGACCAAAUUGAAUUCACCUCUUGAGCUAGCGCCGGGACCAUUUUUAAAUGUAAAGGCGACUCGGUCUAUCUAAGUAGAUCGUUAUAUGAAUGAAGUGAGCAGUUAGUUUUUUGUAAAUAAUAACUGUUAAUUAGGGUGGUACCGCGAUCAAUCCUCGUCCCUUUU
RNAcentral lists this non-coding RNA (247 nucleotides) under Bacillus sp. (in: firmicutes). Its description in RNAcentral is "Bacillus sp. T-box sequence". It matches the Rfam family "T-box leader". From Rfam's summary of the family: Uncharged tRNA acts as the effector for transcription antitermination of genes in the T-box leader family. T-boxes are found upstream of many aminoacyl-tRNA synthetase genes and some amino acid biosynthetic genes usually in Gram-positive bacteria. The anticodon of a specific tRNA base pairs to a specifier sequence within the T-box motif, and the NCCA acceptor tail of the tRNA base pairs to a conserved bulge in the T-box antiterminator hairpin. The record is from RNAcentral. Lineage: Bacteria; Bacillati; Bacillota; Bacilli; Caryophanales; Bacillaceae.